This 172-nucleotide ribosomal RNA is filed under the name uncultured bacterium. RNAcentral describes it as "partial 16S ribosomal RNA". It matches the Rfam family "Bacterial small subunit ribosomal RNA", at positions 338 to 524 of the family's 1533-position model. The record is from RNAcentral.
CCUACGGGAGGCAGCAGCCGCGGUAAUAUUGCCCAAUGGACGAAAGUCUGAGGCAGCAACGCCGCGUGCGCGAUGAAGGCCUUCGGGUCGUAAAGCGCUUUUCGGGAGGAUGAGAGCGGACAGUACUCCCGGAAUCAGGUACGGCUAACUACGUGCCAGCAGCCGCGGUAAU